UUCAGUAGAGUCCAUUGUAAUCCAUAUCAAGCUCGAUGCCAAAUAAGGUAUGCCCAAAGUUUCGACAUCAUUUUUGCUAGGACGUGAAGUCUAAGCUCGAGCAUCUUCCAUAAGACCACCCUAUAGCCGUGGUGCUGGGUGUAGAUUUAUUUGAUUUAGUAACUGAGUUAGUGUUGCAACUUGUUGGCAGGGCCCUUCAAACAUUCGAAGGGCAAUGACUGCUAAUAGAGGUGUUGUUUUCCCUGAUGAUUCCUCCUGCGGAAUCGAAGGAUCUUCAGCGUAUGGCUUAUUAGGGACAGAUGAGUUUGCUUGAAGAUGUCCUAAACGUGUAUUAACCAUAACUUUUGAUAGCGAUUUCCAUAGAAAGCGUUAAUGAUGGUGCCAAAUAUUUGGGGAUUUUCGAGCUUGAAGAUAGAGAAUGAGCAGAGACAAUAUCUUUCGAUAUUUGAAAUAAAGGGAUUGAGGUGUGUUUUUGUCACCCCUCUAAUGCUUGAGUUAGAGAAAGAAUUUGUGCGUGGGACUACAAACUGAAAAC
This 535-nucleotide long non-coding RNA is filed under the name Olea europaea subsp. europaea. Lineage: Eukaryota; Viridiplantae; Streptophyta; Magnoliopsida; Lamiales; Oleaceae. The record is from RNAcentral.